RNAcentral lists this ribosomal RNA (956 nucleotides) under uncultured rumen bacterium. RNAcentral describes it as "bacterial SSU rRNA". It matches the Rfam family "Bacterial small subunit ribosomal RNA", at positions 8 to 990 of the family's 1533-position model. The record is from RNAcentral.
AGAGUUUGAUCAUGGCUCAGAACGAACGCUGGCGGCAUGGAUUAGGCAUGCAAGUCGAACGAAGCAGCAAUGCUUAGUGGCGCAAGGGUGAGGAACACGUGAGUGACCUGCCCGCAAGUUUGGAACAGCUCCUGGAAACGGGAAUUAAUACCGGAUGUGAUCAUGAAGCUGCAUGGUUUCAUGAUUAAAGCAGAAAUGCGCUUGCGGAGGGGCUCGCGUCCCAUUAGCUAGUUGGUGAGGUAACGGCCCACCAAGGCCAUGAUGGGUAGCUGGUCUGAGAGGACGACCAGCCACACUGGGACUGAGAACUGCCCAGACUCCUACGGGAGGCUGCAGUCGAGAAUUUUGGGCAAUGGACGAAAGUCUGACCCAGCAAUGCCGCGUGCGGGAUGAAGGUCUUCGGAUUGUAAACCGCUGUUUGGAGGGACGAAAAUUGACGGUACUUCCAGAGAAAGCCACGGCUAACUACGUGCCAGCAGCCGCGGUAAUACGUAGGUGGCGAGCGUUGUUCGGAUUUAUUGGGCGUAAAGGGUCCGCAGGGGGUUGAUUAAGUUUGACGUGAAAUCCCGGAGCUUAACUCCGGAACUGCGUUGAAGACUGGUUGACUAGAGUAUUGGAGAGGUAAUUGGAAUUCCAGGUGUAGCGGUGGAAUGCGUAGAUAUCUGGAAGAACAUCGAGAGCGAAGGCAGAUUACUGGACAAUAACUGACCCUCAGGGACGAAAGCAUGGGGAGCAAACAGGAUUAGAUACCCUGGUAGUCCAUGCCCUAAACGGUGUAAACUUGAUGUGAGCGGAAUUACUCCCGUUCGUGUCGAAGCUAACGCGAUAAGUUUACCGCCUGGGAACUACGGCCGCAAGGCUAAAACUCAAAGGAAUUGACGGGGGCCCGCACAAGCGGUGGAGCAUGUGGCUUAAUUCGAGGCAACGCGAAGAACCUUACCUGGAUUUGACAUUUA